Long non-coding RNA from Marmota monax (woodchuck), 3798 nucleotides. RefSeq lists it as uncharacterized. The record is from RefSeq and is a predicted model, not a curated record. Lineage: Eukaryota; Metazoa; Chordata; Mammalia; Rodentia; Sciuridae. The transcript has 3 exons.
CUCCCGGCACCUUUCUGAAUUCACAACUAGCCCUGGCACUCUAGGUCUUGGUGUGUCUCUGGAUGUAACCCUUCUAGGUCAUAGGAGAUGGUGUGCACAGGUCUGCUACUCACACAGCGCCGGAGCCGCAGUCUGAGGGUCUUCAGCUUCUCCCCCAGGGAGUUCACGUGCUCCUUGACAUCUGGGCUGUGGUUCUCUGCCUGGGGCAUCACCUCCACUAGGUAAAACUGGAUCAUCUCCGACAAGGCUUGGCAACCCAGAUGGGCAAACAGAGAUCCAGGGAGGAAAAUAACUUUUCCAGGCACUAAAGAGGAUCAAUGGCAAAGGCGGAAUCGGAACCCAGUUCUCUUUCUCGAAAUGCUCAGCUGCUAGAUUUGGAUGAACCUGUUCUUGGACCUGAAGACUUAACAUGGAAAAGAGGUUUAGAUCUCCACAGCCCAAGGGCAUUACGGGAGCACAGAGAAAUCAAUCAAUCCCAGAGCAGAAAGAGGUCUGGCGGAGGUACUUAGGACCCAGCAUUUAGUCCUGAUCCUUGUACCACAAAACCCUGGACAAGUUCCUUCUUAUCCCUAGGCCUUGCUUUCUGAUGUUUUUCUAAGAUAUUUUCCAAAUCUAGAAUUCUGUGACCCAGCCUCUCCCUCCCCGGACUACUCCCCUUGGCAAGACUUAGUUGGCAUGCUGGGUUCUGAUGCGCAUUUCCCCUCCCGCUGCGAAAUCCCCAGAUCAGCACAAGAUCAGUCCCUUCCAGUUCAGAGCUCCUGCCCAGACCUGGAAGUGCCACCCUGUAAGAGAAACAAAAGCUUUUCCUCAGGCUGCUUUUGCGUGUGUUCACCUGUAUUUCCUUCUCGCCAUCCUGGCCCCCAGCGCUUUGAGGUUGCAGUUUCGAUGUGAGUCAAGUGUGCUGAGAGCAGUGGAAACCAGAGAGGCCUCAGCUCAGCGAGAGGACAUGAUGCUGCCUUUUCCUCAAGAGCGAGGCCGGGGGAUGGGGAGCGCGUGGGAGGGAGGUGACCACCUUCUGAAAGUGGAUUUUUUCGCAUUGACUGUAUCAGGGAGGAAAGAAUAUUACUGGAAAACCCUAGAGAGCACUUCACAUCUUGUUCUGAAGGAUCUUCACCUUCUCAAGAAAUGAUCCGCGCUGUGCUGUCAAAUGUUGGUACCAUUUUGAUGUGCUUUGAGGAGCAAGAAUUUUUUUGGUGGGGUUGGCUCGUGAUGUGGGACUCAGACAAUGUUUUCCUAGUGGAGGUGACCCUGAGGUGCUGGAUCCCCAUGACAGAGCAUGAUAAGGCCAGUUUGGGAGGUGUUUCAGUCCUAAGGCUUGUCAGCAGCUAUAGGCUUUGAAGCAUCAAAGUCUUCCCACCCCUUCAUCAUAUUCUGUGGGAAAAAGGAAAGAAGGCACAGAGAAAUGCCAGUGCAGAAACUAGGAAGUUUGACCAUUAUGGACGAACACUUGUAUCAUGCAAACCCUGUGAAUCAGCAGAGUCUCAGAUCCAUGAAGGAAGCCCUGUGGAGUGAGCAGGAGGCCUGAAGACCCACAGAACAGAAAUAAAGAGUGGGAAAGAAUCCACUGGCCACCCCCAAUUUAGAAGUGCCUGUUAGCUGUAGAUCCAAAUGACAACCAUUGGUUCUUCCUUACCUCUGCUGGGAAAUCCUUUGUGAAAUGACCGGGAACUUCUAGAGAUCCAAGGAGUACAAACUGUAGAGGUGGAAAGGGAGCCAUGGAAAAGAGGCAGGAGCCUCUUCAGUCUGUGACCCAGAGGCUGAGUUCCAUGCAGGGCUGGAUGGUGAGCUGGGGUGGGUGGAGAGAAUUGACCAUCUGGAGCACUUGGUUAAGCAGGGCAGAAGACAGAGAUUCAAUGAGGGGCUUAGAGGAGUCACUCAGAGGGGAAGAGGGAGGGACUAACCAGAGAGGGGUUGUAGGGAGAGGGACUAGAGCAUGAUAGGAGGUGACACAAUACAACUUCGUCUAUUCAAAUGUUGCUUAAGCCUGGUCAUAUGGUCCAUAGGAGAAAGUAACUCCUUUGUAAAUCUCGUGGAACUCAGCUCCCAAGAACCCAAACUGAGGGUUGGGGUUAUUUAUAGUAUGACCCAGUUGCAUUGUAGGCUAGGAACAAAUCAGCAUUUAGAAAAGAAGUUUUCAUGAAGAUAUUAUUCCAGGUGGGAACAGUGGAUCAUGAUCAUUAGAAGAUGAUCCAUUGCUUCUGCUAUAAUCACUGUAACUACUACCUCACUAGAACUACUAUGGCCUUCACUAUUAGAACAGCUAUGACUGUUGAUACCACCACAAUUUCGCUUUCCCUUCUAGGCCUCCAGAAAUGACUUUGAACACCCAAAGGUUGAUGCUAGUGAAGGAGGGUCCCCACUGGUAGGGUCCUUUCUGUGUGGGUGGAGGUUGCCAGGGAUUAACAAGGCAGGGGCCUUAGUGGAGGCUAAUAGCAGGUGGUGGAGGGGAGUGGUAUGUGAAGCUUCUGAUCACAAUGACCACAGCUGGGGCUUCUGUUUCAUUUCAUGGAAAGUCAGAGGGCUUUAGAGUAAACUGCAGGGGAGGAGGAGAGACUGGGUUGUAGCAGGUCACAUCUAGCCAGAGCUUGCAUGUGUAGAGCCUGCAUUGGCGAGAAAAUUGGGGUCAAGGCUGCCUGGGCGACUGUAACUGAGAUCUGAGUCUGUGGAAAUGGUGUGAGGGAUGCUGAGCUUUUCACAUUGACCCCACUGUGGCUCCCUGCACUUACCACCCUAGUUGAGCUAAAGGCCAUAUGAAGGUUCAACCCAUAGCUGGUAGUUACCACUGACAACGUUCUGAGUGCAACCAAGUUAACUCUUUACAUGCAUCGUCCCCUCCAUCCCAGGCCACUAGAGAACAGAAUGCAUUCUUAAAGUCAUUUUAGAUUUCUCCAGAUUACCAAGCCAAGCUCAUCGGUCUAAGGCACUGAUUUCAUCACCAACUCCAUCUUCCUGAACCUUCAAUGGCUGGCCAGUGCCUUCAGAGCAGAGCCCAGUCAGCUAGCUUGAGGUUUGCAUCUCCCAGUGUCUUGCAAACUUCUUUCCUAAAGAUUCUUCACCCAAGAUAUCUGGCCAGAACAGAGGGCCCUCACUAUUAUCAGAUGAUGCCUCCUCACUCUCUCUCUCUCACUUCCUUGUCUCCACUCAUGGCCUGCAAUGAUCUUCCCCUGUCCCUUCCAGUUCAGCAUCACCUCUUCCGUGAGCCUUUCAUCACAACUUUGACCCCACUGAGAUUUCAUUAAAAGCAAACAAACAAACCCUCCAGCACUCAGGACUGUGGAGAGCCAUUCUCACACGUGACUGGGUGACUCCCGGUUUGGGUCUGAGGCGCUCUGACUAAUCUGUGUCGGAGCUUUCCCGGCCCUCUCCUGAUGAGAGAACCCGUCCGUGUGGGGGUGUGACUGACCACUGACCCUGGGGGCCCAAUCACUGACCCUGACCUUGGAGUGCGGCCCCCCCUCAACCUUCAUUGGAUGGAAUUCUCCCCUGAAUUUCUUGUUCCCCAAUAAAAGGCUACUCCCUGGCGUGCUCUCUCUCUCUCUCUCCUGCUAGCCCUGAGUAAUCCUUGCUGCCCUACGGGUGGUUCGGGUGGUUCGAGGUUGGAGCCAGAGAGGGGAGCUGUCUCGGACCUGGUCAUAGAAAAAGGUAACUGAGUCUGUGUGUUUUAUUUCGAUCUCUGCUAGCUAACUUUUAUGCCAAGAACCUCAUUAAUGAAACCAAUGCGCUGGCCGCAUGGUGGACAGGACUACUUGGUGGUACUCCGUGUGCACUACCUCAAGUUGUUUUUCCUGUGCCAGGGAA